This 564-nucleotide ribosomal RNA is filed under the name Lactobacillus delbrueckii subsp. bulgaricus. RNAcentral describes it as "partial 23S ribosomal RNA". It matches the Rfam family "Bacterial large subunit ribosomal RNA", at positions 1606 to 2181 of the family's 2925-position model. Lineage: Bacteria; Bacillati; Bacillota; Bacilli; Lactobacillales; Lactobacillaceae. The record is from RNAcentral.
UGCCGAGAAAAGCUUCUAGCCAGAGACGGUGCACCCGUACCGCAAACCGACACAGGUAGUCGAGGAGAGUAUCCUCAGGUGAGCGAGAGAACUCUCGUUAAGGAACUCGGCAAAAUGGCCCCGUAACUUCGGGAGAAGGGGCGCUGGUCGCAAGAUCAGCCGCAGUGAAAAGGCCCAAGCAACUGUUUAUCAAAAACACAGGCAUCUGCAAAAUCGUAAGAUGAAGUAUAGGUGCUGACACCUGCCCGGUGCUGGAAGGUUAAGAGGAGAGCUUAGCGCAAGCGAAGGUUUGAAUUGAAGCCCCAGUAAACGGCGGCCGUAACUAUAACGGUCCUAAGGUAGCGAAAUUCCUUGUCGGGUAAGUUCCGACCUGCACGAAAGGUGUAAUGAUUUGGGCACUGUCUCAACGAGAGACUCGGUGAAAUUAUAAUACCCGUGAAGAUGCGGGUUACCCGCGACAGGACGGAAAGACCCCAUGGAGCUUUACUGCAGUUUAAUAUUGGGUAUCUGUCAAGCAUGUACAGGAUAGGUAGGAGCCGGAGAAGAUAGGACGCCAGUCUUAUC